AAGAGAGCAGUGAUUAUAAACCACAAGAAUCAAAAAAAAUCUGAUUUGCUCAAUUUCUGGGCAUGAUAGACUUAUUAUACACCCAUAGAAUAUGAGCUCUC
RNAcentral lists this small nucleolar RNA (101 nucleotides) under Brassica oleracea var. oleracea. RNAcentral's name for it is "Small nucleolar RNA snoR8a". It matches the Rfam family "Small nucleolar RNA snoR8a". The record is from Rfam by way of RNAcentral. Lineage: Eukaryota; Viridiplantae; Streptophyta; Magnoliopsida; Brassicales; Brassicaceae.